GGGAGUGCGGAGGGGGCGGGGGCGGAGUCGCCAUCUUGGACUCGGUUCGACCAGGUCUGGUGACCGGCGACGAGGGGCCGGGCUCGGCGCCGGGGGUCGGGAACUACUAUCAAUGCCUUUUACAAAAUGAGGUCAUUGGAUUGCAGAGUUGGCUUUCGAGAAGAUUUUGUGGCCUUUCUCAGCUGUCUAGGUGCUGUAGGUGCUGUGUUUCUAUGGCUGCAAGGAUGAAGUGUUCCAGGAAGUCAUGGCAAUUGAGAAGGCGUAGGAGGAAGAAAUCUUGUUGCCUCUUCCCUCAAAAUACAUCCAGAACUUGUCCUCUUUUAUCACCUCCACCGCCCUGACCUUGGCCCAAGCCUCUAUUAUCCACAAUAAUUGAGAUGCUCUCAAGCUGGGCCAGUGGCCAACUGCAGAACGGAGAGUGGCCGAGCAGGGAAGGUCAUAGAAGGCACAGGAUGGGGAAGGACACUGGAGACCAGGUUCCUGUAGGCUUCCAGAGACCACCUGCAUUUGUUGGUUGAUAGCCUCUUCCUCGAAUCACCCUGAUCCUCUGCUUCUGUGGCCACAUUUUCAUCUCUCCAAAUCUGAGUCUUCUGCCUGUCUCCUCUAGGGACCCUUGAGAUGACUUUGGGCCCAUCCAGAUCAUCCAAGAUAAUCUCCCCUUCUCAAGUUUCUUAAUCACUUCGGCAAGGUCUUUUUUGCCACAUAAAGUAAUAUUUGCACUGGGUUCAGGAAUCAGGAUGUGGGCAUCUUUGUGGGGGGAGUCACUAUUCCACCUACCACACAGAGCCCCUUCAACAAGUGAGAUUAGAUGAGAAAAUGUUGGUGAAGCACUGAGCCCAGAGAUAGAGCAUAGUAGGUGUGGAUGCUGGUGAUAGUGAAGGGGUGAAUGGCUGACAAAGACCAGGUGACUAAUUUCACAGCUGCCAGAAAUCAGCCUCCAGGGACACACAAGGAGCUUUGCCACACGCUGAAUCAGAUAAGGCCUCUGACUUUGUUUUGCCCCAGAAGCAGACCUCAAGAAGAGGACUCCAGUGCAAGUAGUUUAUUUAGAAGGCAAGCCCACAAAAAGUGGGAAAGCGAGACAGGCAAGGCAAGGCAAGGAAACCAAUGGAGAAUGCCAUGAAGCUAGUUACCACCAUAGGCAGGUGGAGCUUAAUCCCACUGGGGAAUUGUGGAAAACAGUGUGGAGCUCUGCACCUCAGAGUUAACCUACCUGAGAGGUGACAGGGCUGGGGUAUGGAUGCACCAAUUCCCUUCAGUCUGUUGCAAGUUGUUCCAGGGAGGGGGAGAGUGGAGUUAAUUCACCUACACACCCAUCUGCACACACAUAUAUAAAGCAGGCUCUGCUAUUUACAAUAGCAAAGACUUGGAACCAACCCAAAUGCCCAUCAAUGAUAGACUGGAUAAAGAAAAGGUGGCACAUAUACACCAUGGAAUACUAUGCAGCCAUAAAAAAGAAUGAGUUCAUGUCCUUUGCGGGGACAUGAAUGAAGUUGGAAAUCAUCAUCCUCAGCAAACUAACACAGGAACAUAAAACCAAACACUGCAUGUUCUCACUCAUAAGUGGGAGCUGAACAAUGAUAACACAUGGACAUAGGGAGGGGAAUAUCACACACUGAAGCCUGUCAGGGGGUGGGAGGAAAGGGAAGGGAGAGCAUUAGGACAAAUACCUAAUGCAUGCAGGCCUUAAAACCUAGAUGAUUGGUUGAAAGGUGCAGCAAACCACCAUGGCACAUGUAUACCUAUGUAACAAACCUGCACAUUCAGCACAUGUAUCCCAGAACUUAAAGUAAAAUAAAAUAAGUAAUGAUAGAAAAAAAAUUAAAAAGUAAAGCAGGCUCUGAUGGCCAGAGAAUGCCUACCUGCAAAUAUCCAUAGGUGCUGGCAACUGGAAGUCUGGCUGCGUGCACUGAAAUGGCAAAGAUAGGGGUGCUGCGGCCAGGUACUGGUGGUGUCUGCUACCCCACCUUGAGCCUAUAGUCUUCAUUUCUUGUGGACACUAUCCACAGGCCAAGAUAAUGCAGAAAGAUGAGAAAAUCAAGGAGUCAGCGUCUGCCCAAAGUGAAGGUAAGAGGAUGGCUUGGAAUUCACAGCUGGCAACUGAAGCUGUUGAAAGACAUCACCUUAAUGUUGCUCUCCAGGGCUUGCAGCCCUCUUAGGACAGGUGCUGUCUGCAGGGCGGCCUUGCGGUGACAGUGGUCGCCCCGCUGAAUCCCCAAUGCUGUCUUAUAUUGCCACUUUCCUGGGAGGCUGUCAUCCAUCUCUGAUUUAGACUACCCCGAGGUCUUACGGUUAAGCUGUUGAGUAGGUUUUGUCAUUCUGUAUUAUUUUCCUUUGUACUUUUUGUUCAGGAAGGUUCCUGGCUGUCUUUGGUGUAGUUUGUAUCAUAUCUUCCAAUAAAAUAAACACAUCU
This is a long non-coding RNA of Homo sapiens (human), 2413 nucleotides long. The record is from Ensembl. NCBI's taxonomy places the organism in Eukaryota, Metazoa, Chordata, Mammalia, Primates, Hominidae.